RNAcentral lists this unclassified non-coding RNA (170 nucleotides) under uncultured Ascomycota. Its description in RNAcentral is "sequence contains ITS2". The record is from RNAcentral. Lineage: Eukaryota; Fungi; Ascomycota.
UACUACUAAGGCUCAGCCUUGCGGUGGCUCUCCGUUCUGUCGCCUGCUGGGGAUUUUCCCCUGGGAGGUAGAGGGGACGGUAGGCCCAAACCAAUGGGCGUUUUUGCAAUCUGUCCAGCGUAGCAAGUCUCUCGCUGGGUGUGAAAAACAGAAGCGCCACUACAACGAAC